UACGGGAGGCAGCAGUGGGGAAUAUUGCACAAUGGGCGAAAGCCUGAUGCAGCUAUGCCGCGUGUAUGAAGAAGGCCUUAGGGUUGUAAAGUACUUUCAUCGGGGAGGAAAAAACAAAACUAAUAAUUUUAUUUCUUGACGUUACCCGAAAAAGAAGCACCGGCUAACUCCGUGCCAGCAGCCGCGGUAAUACGGAGGGUGCUAGCGUUAAUCAGAAUUACUGGGCGUAAAGAGCACGUAGGUGGUUUUUUUAAGUCAGAUGUAAAAAUCCCUGGGCUUUAACCUAGGAACUGCAUUUUGAAACUGAAAUACUAGAGUAUCGUAGAGGGAGGUAGAAUUCUAGGUGUAGCGGUGAAAUGCGUAGAUAUCUGGAGGAAUACCUGUGGCGAAAGCGGCCUCCUAAACGAAUACUGACACUGAGGGUGCGAAAGCGUGGGGAGCAAACCAGGGAUUAGAUACC
This 460-nucleotide ribosomal RNA is filed under the name uncultured bacterium. RNAcentral's name for it is "bacterial SSU rRNA". It matches the Rfam family "Bacterial small subunit ribosomal RNA", at positions 340 to 786 of the family's 1533-position model. The record is from RNAcentral.